UUAUAUGGACUUUGACUCCUGCCUGGAUUGUUCUCCACCCCACACCGUAACCCAGGCAACGACUAUGGCGGAAUCUGCUGUACAGGCGAGGAACUUCUCCAGUUGUUCUUUCAGUUGAGAGACAGAUUUUCUCACAUCAUUAUAAAGGUGGACAGAACUUCUGGUAACUCUGGGUACGC
Non-coding RNA from Pimephales promelas (fathead minnow), 179 nucleotides. Lineage: Eukaryota; Metazoa; Chordata; Actinopteri; Cypriniformes; Leuciscidae. The record is from RefSeq and is a predicted model, not a curated record.